AUUGAACGCUGGCGGCAGGCCUAACACAUGCAAGUCGAACGAGUGGCGGACGGGUGAGUAAUGUAUGGGAAACUGCCUGAUGGAGGGGGAUCACUACUGGAAACGGUAGCUAAUACCGCAUACUAUCGGAUGUGCCCAGAUGGGAUGAGCUAGUAGGUGGGGUAAAGGCUCACCUAGGCGACGAUCCCUAGCUGGUCUGAGAGGAUGACCAGCCACACUGGAACUGAGACACGGCCCAGACUCCUACGGGAGGAAGCAGUGGGGAAUAUUGCACAAUGGGCGAAAGCCGGAUGCAGCCAUGCCGCGUGUAUGAAGAAGGCCUUCGGGUUGUAAAGUACUUUCAGCGGGGAGGCGUUACCCGCAGAAGAAGCACCGGCUAACUCCGUGCCAGCAGCCGCGGUAAUAC
This 406-nucleotide ribosomal RNA is filed under the name uncultured bacterium. Its description in RNAcentral is "partial 16S ribosomal RNA". It matches the Rfam family "Bacterial small subunit ribosomal RNA", at positions 30 to 526 of the family's 1533-position model. The record is from RNAcentral.